GUGCUACAACUCGAUCCAGGCAAACGAAGCUAGAGCUAACUAGCACAUCUGAUUCUGAUUCAUUCCUCUGCUUAGAAAGAAAAAAUGGCAUCUAUCAAGGCUGAGAAACCUGUUGGCACUCAAUGCUGCGGGCAGGCCAAGAAGGAGCCCGCCAAACCCAGCGGUAGCACACCCAAAGAUGCCGCCUCCAAGCCCGCCCCUAAGAAGGCGGACCAGAAACCUCGGGAGCCUAAAAAGAAGGUAUUUAGUCGGCAAAUUUGAUCACUUUCCUAGCUUGGGACUUGGAGACCCAUGUGCUUUCAAUUAGUAGCAUUUGCAUGGGGCAUGCAUUCAAUAUCCCUAAAAAAAGAUAAUAGCAGCUGGUUGCAUGGGACAUGCUUAAAUUAAUCAUUUUAAUUAAUUUCAAUAAUUGAUUUGUUGCUUUAUUUUUGUGAAACUGAUCUAAUUUCUCCCUUUCAUGGAUUGGUAGGCAUCGGGAGGGAAGCCAGCAGCUAAGUAACCAAGUAAAAUUAGGAAGACAAGAGCUUUGUUAUUAAUUAUAUUAUAUUAUACAUGAAGAUCCCAUGGAGCUCAACUUAAAUAAUGGCCGGCUGGCUGGUCAGGAUUGUUGGAAUUAUAAAUAUUGCAAAGCUUUUCCCUUGUAAUUGUUAUUUAUAAUAUCUGUAUGCUGUCUCUCUUUGUAGGCUUGACCUAAUUAAUAAAAAAAUACACAUGUAUUUCAAAGGGCCUCUGAGUUUCUUCAUUGCCGAUUAUAAUAUCUAUAUAUUGUAUAGUUAAA
RNAcentral lists this long non-coding RNA (778 nucleotides) under Durio zibethinus. RNAcentral's name for it is "long non-coding RNA (DZIB_LNC001215)". The record is from RNAcentral. Lineage: Eukaryota; Viridiplantae; Streptophyta; Magnoliopsida; Malvales; Malvaceae.